GAUGAAGAACGCAGCGAAAUGCGAUAAGUAAUGUGAAUUGCAGAAUUCAGUGAAUCAUCGAAUCUUUGAACGCACAUUGCGCCCCCUGGUAUUCCGGGGGGCAUGCCUGUCCGAGCGUCAUUACAACCCUCAAGCUCAGCUUGGUGUUGGGCCCCGCCGCCCCGGCGGGCCUUAAAGUCAGUGGCGGUGCCGUCCGGCUCCGAGCGUAGUAAUUCUUCUCGCUCUGGAGGUCCGGUCGUGUGCUUGCCAGCAACCCCCAAUUUUUUUCAGGUUGACCUCGGAUCAGGUAGGGAUACCCGCUGAACUUAAGCAUAUCAAUAAGCGGAGGA
This 329-nucleotide unclassified non-coding RNA is filed under the name soil metagenome. RNAcentral describes it as "partial contains 5.8S ribosomal RNA, internal transcribed spacer 2, and large subunit ribosomal RNA". The stretch from base 1 to 120 matches the Rfam family "5.8S ribosomal RNA", at positions 35 to 154 of the family's 154-position model. The record is from RNAcentral.